UACAUAGGUGCAGCGUGUCGGAAUUAUUGGCGUAAAGAGCGUGUAGGCGGCCCGACCAGUCCGCUGUGAAAGUCCUGGGCUCAACCCUGGAAUGCCGGUGGAUACUGUCGGGCUAGAGUCCGGAAGGGGCGAGUGGAAUUCCUGGUGUAGCGGUGAAAUGCGCAGAUAUCAGGAGGAACACCAAUGGCGAAGGCAGCUCGCUGGGACGUGACUGACGCUGAGACGCGAAAGCGUGGGGAGCAAACAGG
RNAcentral lists this ribosomal RNA (248 nucleotides) under uncultured bacterium. RNAcentral's name for it is "partial 16S ribosomal RNA". It matches the Rfam family "Bacterial small subunit ribosomal RNA", at positions 524 to 776 of the family's 1533-position model. The record is from RNAcentral.